UACGUAGGUGGCAAGCGUUAUCCGGAAUUAUUGGGCGUAAAGGGUGCGUAGGCGGUUUAUUAAGUCUAUGGUGAAAGUGCGGGGCUCAACCCCGUAUGGCCAUAGAAACUAGUAGACUUGAGUGCAGGAGAGGGCAAUGGAAUUCCAUGUGUAGCGGUAAAAUGCGUAGAUAUAUGGAGGAACACCAGUGGCGAAGGCGGUUGCCUGGACUGUAACUGACGCUGAAGCACGAAAGCGUGGGGAGCAAAUAGG
RNAcentral lists this ribosomal RNA (252 nucleotides) under uncultured bacterium. Its description in RNAcentral is "partial 16S ribosomal RNA". It matches the Rfam family "Bacterial small subunit ribosomal RNA", at positions 524 to 776 of the family's 1533-position model. The record is from RNAcentral.